This 599-nucleotide long non-coding RNA is filed under the name Homo sapiens (human). RNAcentral describes it as "long non-coding RNA NONHSAT042353.2". The record is from RNAcentral. Lineage: Eukaryota; Metazoa; Chordata; Mammalia; Primates; Hominidae.
CAUUUUAUUGUUCUUUGCUCUAAUAUCAUUUUAUAAAAAUUAAUAAGAAAUAAAACAACUGCUGAAACUAAAAUGAUAGGAAGCAUAUGUCUCAAACUUAAUACUAUAAAGACCAUAUUAGAAAUCUGAAGCAUGACAAAAAUGUAACUCUCUGGCCUCAACUGACUAGAAAUUUAUUGCUGAUUGUGUUUUCUGUCCCUUCUGGAUUUUUACAAGUCAUGGAUCCUACUACAUUCUUUCUGCAUAUUGAACCAACCUUCUGGGGAGACAGUGGACCUACCAGACACCUACCGGACUGCAACAAUUGUUUCACGUGAUCUUUCAGACGAGAGCAAAUGUCUUCCUAAAUAGAAAAAAAGUUCAGGAAGUCAUUUUCAUAAAGAGUUUUAAUAAAGAGUAAACUAAAAAUUAUGAUACAUAAUUAGAUUUGAUGUCAAACACAAGAUCAUCACAUGGGAGCAUCACCUCUUUUACAAGUCAACAGAGAAUGGAGACCCCCAACCCAAUAAGGAAAAGCCACCAGGAUCCACUCUUCUCCAGUCAUCCAAGAAGGGCUACUGUCCAAGUCCAACUAACUUCAAUGUUACCCUAUGUUUGGC